AUGAAGGCCUGGUCGACGCCGGCGUCGUGGAGGUGGAAGAGCUGCUGCAGCUGGCCCUGGAAGGCGGUGACGCUGCCCUCGGCGUCGUCGCGGGCCGCCCGGCGCCGGCGCCGCAGCCGCAGCAGGUGGCGCGCCAGCAGGUGCAGCAGGCCGCAGACGAAGAAGACGAUCGCCAGCACCGCCACGAUGAAGAGGAUGCUGGGGCUGAUCUUGGUCUCCACCGUCUCCAGCGCCGACGACCCCGGCGCCGUCCACGACGAGUUGCUCAUGGUCCUUGUAGUGCUCCGCACCGAGCCCACCGCUCCAAGCAAGCAAGCAGCCACGGAUGAGAGCCCGAGCUUCGGGCUUACGAUCCGGAGCAAAGGUGGAGCCUCGGCAUGGCCGCGCUGGAUUAGGGGGGGACGGGAGGGAAGCUUUGUGUGGGGGGUCGCGGGGGCAAUAAAUUGCGGCAGAGAGAGAGAGAGACCGGGCGAGAUUGUUUAG
Molecule: ribosomal RNA, 483 nt
Filed under: Triticum aestivum (bread wheat)
Lineage: Eukaryota; Viridiplantae; Streptophyta; Magnoliopsida; Poales; Poaceae
Description: partial small subunit ribosomal RNA
Source: RNAcentral